This 592-nucleotide ribosomal RNA is filed under the name uncultured bacterium. Its description in RNAcentral is "bacterial SSU rRNA". It matches the Rfam family "Bacterial small subunit ribosomal RNA", at positions 616 to 1286 of the family's 1533-position model. The record is from RNAcentral.
UAAAAUUGCAGUUGAUACUGUCAGUCUUGAGUACAGUAGAGGUGGGCGGAAUUCGUGGUGUAGCGGUGAAAUGCUUAGAUAUCACGAAGAACUCCGAUUGCGAAGGCAGCUCACUGGACUGCAACUGACACUGAUGCUCGAAAGUGUGGGUAUCAAACAGGAUUAGAUACCCUGGUAGUCCACACAGUAAACGAUGAAUACUCGCUGUUUGCAAGGGCCAAGCAAAAGCAUUAAGUAUUCCACCUGGGGAGUACGCCGGCAACGGUGAAACUCAAAGGAAUUGACGGGGGCCCGCACAAGCGGAGGAACAUGUGGUUUAAUUCGAUGAUACGCGAGGAACCUUACCCGGGCUUAAAUUGAAGGUGCUGCAUGGUUGUCGUCAGCUCGUGCCGUGAGGUGUCGGCUUAAGUGCCAUAACGAGCGCAACCCUUAUCUUCAGUUACGACUCUGGAGAGACUGCCGUCGUAAGAUGGAGGAAGGUGGGGAUGACGUCAAAUCAGCACGGCCCUUACGUCCGGGGCUACACACGUGUUACAAUGGGGGGUACAGAAGGCAGCUAGCGGGUGACCGUAUGCUAAUCCCAAAAUCCUCU